RNAcentral lists this ribosomal RNA (223 nucleotides) under Enterobacter hormaechei. RNAcentral describes it as "partial 23S ribosomal RNA". It matches the Rfam family "Bacterial large subunit ribosomal RNA", at positions 778 to 998 of the family's 2925-position model. RNAcentral also lists the same sequence under 1 other name. Lineage: Bacteria; Pseudomonadati; Pseudomonadota; Gammaproteobacteria; Enterobacterales; Enterobacteriaceae. The record is from RNAcentral.
ACCGACUAAUGUUGAAAAAUUAGCGGAUGACCUGUGGCUGGGGGUGAAAGGCCAAUCAAACCGGGAGAUAGCUGGUUCUCCCCGAAAGCUAUUUAGGUAGCGCCUCGUGAACUCAUCUUCGGGGGUAGAGCACUGUUUCGGCUAGGGGGCCAUCCCGGCUUACCAACCCGAUGCAAACUACGAAUACCGAAGAAUGUUAUCACGGGAGACACACGGCGGGUGC